AGAACCAUAGCUUACUGAAGAACCAUUUUUUGCUGAAAUGGUUCUUUGUCUUGGCAAAAGGGUUCAUUAUUUCCCUCCUUUUUUGAUUUUAAAUUUAGUCAGUUAUUUUCAAGCUGCCUCCUGAUUAUUUUCACCUGUAAAAGCCCUGAAUCAUCAGUCCUGCUGAACCGCCUGCAGACUAACAACACAAACAGGUAAGAGAGGAAAAUAAUCAUCAUUUACUGUUAAAAACAUUUUGAAAAUUGAAGUUUUGUGUGUUCUUAUUGUAAUUUAUUUAUUUUAUAACAGGUAAACUUUAUACUGUAAGCUUCAUUCCCUUUAAAGCAGAGUUUUCAUAUGUGAGGUAAUCUUACUGGGAGUGAAGGCAGUGCGUAUGACUGCUUGAUAUGAAAGACACAUCCUGUUUUAAAAGGUGGAUCGUGAGUGAAGCUCUGCAGGUCUGCCAUUGGCUUGAUAACAGUGGUUUAUGUUAAUUGAGUGAAUUCAAUUUAUAAAUAAAUCUUUCACCAAGCAUUCACCUAUUUACUGACAAAACAGAUCCAAAUCUUGUUCAGCCUGAUGCUCAACCUUGUAUGAUGAUGACCACAGCCAGGUGAUGGAGAUCUGUGUUAAUCACAGCCUGCGUCUCAAGAUCAACAUGACAAUAGCAGACCAUUUCUUAUCUUACUCUUAUCUGACUAAAUGUUCAGCAUCAUUGCAACAAAACAAAGAACAUUGGAUGGAGUAUUGGAUGAUCCCGUAAAGAAAAUAUUAUGGCCUUUUUUGGUGAGAUUCUACAAAGAUUGACACAAUCCUAUUGUCUUUUAUUUUUACAGUUAAUA
Non-coding RNA from Misgurnus anguillicaudatus (oriental weatherfish), 821 nucleotides. The record is from RefSeq and is a predicted model, not a curated record. NCBI's taxonomy places the organism in Eukaryota, Metazoa, Chordata, Actinopteri, Cypriniformes, Cobitidae.